Molecule: ribosomal RNA, 336 nt
Filed under: uncultured bacterium
Lineage: Bacteria
Description: bacterial SSU rRNA
Rfam family: Bacterial small subunit ribosomal RNA
Source: RNAcentral
AUUGAACGCUGGCGGCAUGCCUUACACAUGCAAGUCGAACGGCAGCACGGGGGGUAACCCUCGGUGGCGAGUGGCGAACGGGUGAGUAAUACAUCGGAACGUAUCCUGUAGCGGGGGAUAACCUCUCGAAAGAGAGGCUAAUACCGCAUACGACCUACGGGUGAAAGAGGGGGAUCGCAAGACCUCUCACUAUUGGAGCGGCCGAUGUCGGAUUAGCUAGUUGGUGGGGUAACGGCCCACCAAGGCUACGAUCCGUAGCUGGUCUGAGAGACGACCAGCCACACUGGGACUGAGACACGGCCCAGACUCCUACGGGAGGCAGCAGUGGGGAAUUUU